This 136-nucleotide non-coding RNA is filed under the name uncultured Mailhella sp. RNAcentral's name for it is "FMN riboswitch (RFN element)". It matches the Rfam family "FMN riboswitch aptamer (RFN element)". Rfam says of the family: The RFN element is a highly conserved domain that is found frequently in the 5'-untranslated regions of prokaryotic mRNAs that encode for flavin mononucleotide (FMN) biosynthesis and transport proteins. This element is a metabolite-dependent riboswitch that directly binds FMN in the absence of proteins. Lineage: Bacteria; Pseudomonadati; Thermodesulfobacteriota; Desulfovibrionia; Desulfovibrionales; Desulfovibrionaceae. The record is from RNAcentral.
GUCUCAGGGCGGGGUGAAAGUCCCCACCGGCGGUAAACCGGCACAGACCGGCAAGCCCGCGAGCGCGUUUCCCCGUGGAAGGGCGCUGAUCCGGUGCGAUUCCGGAGCCGACGGUAACAGUCCGGAUGGAAGAGAU